AUUGAACGCUGGCGGCAUGCCUUACACAUGCAAGUCGAACGGCAGCACGGGUGCUUGCACCUGGUGGCGAGUGGCGAACGGGUGAGUAAUACAUCGGAACGUACCUUAUCGUGGGGGAUAACGCAGCGAAAGUUGCGCUAAUACCGCAUACGCCCUGAGGGGGAAAGCGGGGGACCGUAAGGCCUCGCGCGAUUAGAGCGGCCGAUGUCUGAUUAGCUUGUUGGUGAGGUAAAAGCUCACCGAGGCGAUGAUCAGUAGCUGGUCUGAGAGGACGAUCAGCCACACUGGGACUGAGACACGGCCCAGACUCCUACGGGAGGCAGCAGUGGGGAAUUUUGGACAAUGGGGGCAACCCUGAUCCAGCAAUGCCGCGUGAGUGAAGAAGGCCUUCGGGUUGUAAAGCUCUUUUGUCAGGGAAGAAACAGCAGCUCUAACACAGUCUGCGAAUGACGGUACCUGAAGAAUAAGCACCGGCUAACUACGU
RNAcentral lists this ribosomal RNA (484 nucleotides) under uncultured bacterium. RNAcentral describes it as "partial 16S ribosomal RNA". It matches the Rfam family "Bacterial small subunit ribosomal RNA", at positions 30 to 506 of the family's 1533-position model. The record is from RNAcentral.